AUACUUACCUGUUCAUGGAGAUACCAUAUCAAGAAGGUGUUCACCCAGGGCGAGGCUUAACCCUGCACUCCGGUUAUGCUGACCCCUGCGAAUUCCCCAAAUGUGGGCAUCUCGACUGCAUAAUUGCUGGUAGUGGGGGGACUGCGUUCGCGGCGCUCAUCCCCC
Etheostoma spectabile (orangethroat darter) is the source of this 165-nucleotide small nuclear RNA. RefSeq annotates it as U1 spliceosomal RNA. The record is from RefSeq and is a predicted model, not a curated record. The transcript has a single exon. NCBI's taxonomy places the organism in Eukaryota, Metazoa, Chordata, Actinopteri, Perciformes, Percidae.